RNAcentral lists this transfer RNA (74 nucleotides) under Propionibacteriaceae bacterium. RNAcentral's name for it is "tRNA-Leu". It matches the Rfam family "tRNA". Rfam says of the family: Transfer RNA (tRNA) molecules are approximately 80 nucleotides in length. Their secondary structure includes four short double-helical elements and three loops (D, anti-codon, and T loops). Further hydrogen bonds mediate the characteristic L-shaped molecular structure. tRNAs have two regions of fundamental functional importance: the anti-codon, which is responsible for specific mRNA codon recognition, and the 3' end, to which the tRNAs corresponding amino acid is attached (by aminoacyl-tRNA synthetases). tRNAs cope with the degeneracy of the genetic code in two manners: having more than one tRNA (with a specific anti-codon) for a particular amino acid; and 'wobble' base-pairing, i.e. permitting non-standard base-pairing at the 3rd anti-codon position. The record is from RNAcentral. Lineage: Bacteria; Bacillati; Actinomycetota; Actinomycetes; Propionibacteriales; Propionibacteriaceae.
GCCCUCAUAGCCCAAUAGGUAGAGGCAGGCGGCUUAAACCCGCCUUGUUGUCGGUUCGAGUCCGACUGGGGGCA